This 465-nucleotide ribosomal RNA is filed under the name uncultured bacterium. RNAcentral's name for it is "partial 16S ribosomal RNA". It matches the Rfam family "Bacterial small subunit ribosomal RNA", at positions 338 to 795 of the family's 1533-position model. The record is from RNAcentral.
CCUACGGGAGGCAGCAGUAGGGAAUCUUCCACAAUGGGCGAAAGCCUGAUGGAGCAACGCCGCGUGGGUGAAGAAGGUCUUCGGAUCGUAAAACCCUGUUGUUAGAGAAGAAAGUGCGUGAGAGUAACUGUUCACGUUUCGACGGUAUCUAACCAGAAAGCCACGGCUAACUACGUGCCAGCAGCCGCGGUAAUACGUAGGUGGCAAGCGUUAUCCGGAGUUAUUGGGCGUAAAGGGAACGCAGGCGGUCUUUUAAGUCUGAUGUGAAAGCCAUCGGCUUAACCGGAGUAGUGCAUUGGAAACUGGGAGACUUGAGUGCAGAAGAGGAGAGUGGAACUCCAUGUGUAGCGGUGAAAUGCGUAGAUAUAUGGAAGAACACCAGUGGCGAAAGCGGCUCUCUGGGCUGUAACUGACGCUGAGGUUCGAAAGCGUGGGUAGCAAACAGGAUUAGAUACCCGUGUAGUC